ACCUAAGUGAUACAUUGGGCAGAAUUCUAGAUUUGAAAUCUGGUAGAGCUCAGUUCAAACCUUGCCUCAGAUA
Molecule: transfer RNA, 73 nt
Filed under: Monodelphis domestica (gray short-tailed opossum)
Lineage: Eukaryota; Metazoa; Chordata; Mammalia; Didelphimorphia; Didelphidae
Rfam family: tRNA
About the family: Transfer RNA (tRNA) molecules are approximately 80 nucleotides in length.
Source: Rfam by way of RNAcentral